Molecule: small nuclear RNA, 109 nt
Organism: Aotus nancymaae (Ma's night monkey)
Lineage: Eukaryota; Metazoa; Chordata; Mammalia; Primates; Aotidae
Source: Ensembl
GUGCUCACUUCAGCAACACAUAUACUAAAAUUGGAACCAUACAGAGAAGAUUAGCAUGGCCCCUACUCACAGAUUACACGUGAUUUUUUAACAACAGCAAAAAGACCUU